CAGGCAGGCUGCUGAGAUCCCCCAGCAUUCUGGGCUGGGCAAGAACUCAGAUUUCCACCUGAGCUCUGAAAUGAAUGGCUUCAUUUAAUCACAAAAGAAGGAAUACCAGCAAGACCACCCAGGCCCCAGCUCCGGUUUUUCCUGAAGAAUUUGGCCGCAUCUCCCUUUUUGAAGGCAGAGUUUCAUCUUGUAAGUAUAAGAUUCCUUUGUUUCUUUGAUGAUCCUAAAGCACUGGUGUCAUCUGAGGGAAAUGACCUUUUAGGUAACAACACCAGCCAUCACUGGGGGCUUUCCGUGUAAGAGGACCACACUGAAGUCACAGGCUAUGAAGCUGUCCUAUAAGAGGCAGGUGAGGCUCCCUGGGCAGGUAACAGGUGGGGAAGAGGCAUCCAGGCACAUGUCGUGCUGUGGUUCACAAAAGGUGCGACCACCACUAUCUACAAGAGGCUGACAAAAACUAUUUUGCAAAAAGAGAACCAUGACUGUUUGGAUCUUGAAAAGUUUAAGGGUCCUCCUCCCCUCCCCAGGCGGCCAUGAGCAUCUGAGGCCGGCGCCUGUGGCAAGACGUAGCAAUGAGCCACCAGGUCCCUAAGGUACUACGUUGCAUUUCUCAAUCUGACUUUGUUUAGUUUGGGGAAAACAUUUUUUCGGUCCUGAAAAAAAAAAUCACUGUGGUUUCUCUCCUACUCCCGCCCUCUGUAAUCGCCACUUGCAAGAGUUUCACCAUUUUCCCGGAAAACCAAAAAAAUGAGGAUGCUGGGCAGACAUUCUUUGUUUCUUUUCUUCCAUCUCCCUCUGCCCCAGGCCGUCUCGUCUGCCCACUCUCCCUACACCUCCUUCCUUCACGCUGGGCUCGCCUCUUUCUCCUUACCAGAUUUCCUUUUCGGAAUCCAGCUCAACCCUCACCUUGGUAAAUAACGCCUCAGUAGACUUAGAGGUAGCCCGGGUCCUUCCGCCCAUACGGUGCCAGCACACCCUUGGCCCCAUCACAGGCUCAGGCUCAGCCAGCUGCGGGCAGUUCACUGCUUCCUCUCUGCAGCACCCCCUGGUCAUCCUGCUUGAUGUUUCCCUUCUCCCUGUGGGCACUUGUAGCUUAUCAACUCACUCAUCAACCAACAGCUCCUGAGCUCCCACUAAGGAUCAAUUGCACUGUGCAAUAUUAUUUUGCACCCGCCCUUUUGGAAGCCUUCUAACGUCAUUUCACAUGCAUAGGCACGCAGGCUUCUCUCCUCCACCACAUGUUGUCAACUGACCUAUUCCUGUCCUUUCUACUCCCUUUACCAGGGUGGUGUCAGGAGUGAGUAGCACAUUAGUCAAAGCCCCUGGAUUCUCUUAAACGGUUCUGCUACUGACUCACUAUGUGAGUGUAGACAAGUCACUUCCCUUUCUCAGCCCUAACUUCCCCAGCCAUAACAUGCUCUCUGUAGUCUGGAAAGAACACAGCUAGAAUGAAUGGGAUGUCCUCUAUACACAGGGCAACUCCAUAAUUCAUUGUCCAGCUUUCACUUUCGAGAACAGCAGGGGGUGUUUUCAUGUGUAUAACAGGACAGGCUUAAACAGGUUUGUACCUGGCAAACCCAGGGCGUACGGGGCAUGCCAGUUUCUGGGAUCUCAGGUAAAAAUGGGGAUAGGAGCAGGCAUUCCUCAGCUUAUCACCUCCUAGUUCACAGAGAUAGAACAUCAGCAGCUUGCUGUAGUCUGAGCUAUUAGGUUUGCUCUAGGGAAGGAGGCAAGAAAUUCAGUCUAUCUUUCAUACAUUUCCAACCUGUGUGCAAAAACAAUCAGACAUAACUCUCCAACACCCACAGGGUGAUCUGAGACAUGGUGGGUAAAGAUGAGCAAAACUGUUAGAGCAACAAAGAAGGCUCUUAUCUGUGCAUUAUAAGUCCCAGCCUCAAACAUGCCAUGCCAUGCCAUGCCCCUCUGAAAUUUAAACCACCCUGAUACCAAGCACUUGCCUAUUUCGGGUGUCUAAAAUAACACCGGGCCAAGUCAAUUAAGUUGGGCCCAGAGGAAGAGCUAACAGGACCCCAGCAUGGCUCUAAGGGGUCUUAGUAACUUCUGAGAAUUCAGAAGUGGAAGUGUUUGCAUAUAAGAGCUACAUCUGGGCCUGCAGCUCUCAGGGCCCUUGACUUAAUUCCUUCUGGGGAGGAAUAUCCAGGCAGGAAUAGAGAAUCAGGAUGUAGCAUGCAACCACGAUGAGGAAUCAGCAGAAACAGAGCCACCCUUGCUUGGCUCAGAAACCAGAUACCAGGCGCUAGGCAGGAAUUCGCCCCUGGGAAGCUGUUGCUUAAUCCUCUAGUUCCUCAGGCUCCUGGCCUCCUUGACAAAGGCCAAGCCAAACAGGGAUCCCAGGUGAGGCCAGGCUGCCCAGCCAGUGCCAGCUCAUUCAGGAUUAGACUAGGGCUGGGAGGAGCCCAGGCAAACCUUCAGGAUGUCAGGCACUGAACAGAAUCCCAGAGGUAGGCAAGUUGCUGCAGCUCCAAUAAUCCAGUGGAAAAGUGCUAAUUUCCCAAAGGCCUUUCAUCACAAGGCCCAAGUAGUCUUUGGCCUGAGUCUAGCUAGAACCACUGGGAUCUGGGAUGAAACUGAGCAAUUGCAGGUCUUGCUGGCGAGUGAAGAGAGGUUUGGCUGCAACUGGGUCCCAGUUGACCGGGUCACAAGGAUCAGCCAGUUUCUAGGUGCAGAGUUGGGAUCCGCGGCCUUUGCCCCUAAGCAGCCCCACUGAUACCUCCAAGGAACUGUUUUAGUAUAAAAGGGAGGGGGAAGGGAAAAGUUUAUUCCAUUAUCGAAGGUGGAGGGUAGGGAGAAGAAGAACAGGAGAUGGUUGUCUGAGUGUAUUUAUUUUCUUCUAAAAUGUAAACUGAACUGGAAAUGCCUACAGAAACACACAGGCACUUUGAUCAUCAGCCCACUGGGUGGGCAACAUGUCUAAUCUCUGCUCUGCCCUGCACAUUGCAGGCACUUUACAGCUGUAUAACGACAUCUCCACCGUGGUGGUGGCCACAUUUAUUGGCUUUGUGACAUUCAUCAGGGCUUCCUUCUUAUUAAAAAUGCAUGGGCUGCAGCUAUUUGGAAGGACACCAGAUAUAUUCACUCUAGGUAGAAAAUAUUUCUCCUUUCUCCAGGAACCCAAAUGAAGCACCCCAGAUCUUGGGGAAUACAGAGAAGUGAGUGGGCAGAGAGUCUGUGGUGGCAGAGGUGGGACACAGAGCCGAGCUGUCCCCAGGUUAGGUGUCUCAGAUGAAGGAAGUCCCCCAGACCGCAUUUCCUCCUGGAGUGAUUCUGCCUUAUUGACUGUGAUGGUAAAGAACUGACUGUGUAUUUUCCAUUUAUUUACUCCCAUAUAUUCUCCACUUUAAUGCAGGGAGGUAAGAUUAGGGAGUUGGCCCAUUUCGUCCCUUUGAUUUCUUGUCACUCAGCCCCAAAUGCAGAAGCUCAGUGGACUAGCUGCUCCCAGGGAAUGACAAACAGCUUGAACAUUUCAAGGGACUAAAAGUUGAUGGUGGCAGGUGAGAGAGGCCAGUGGGGGAGGAAAGAACCGGUCCUGAGGAGGCUCCUCCUCAAUUCUGUUCAGUUUUUAAAACUAGAGUUUUUUCCUCUUAGUUCCUUCCCUUGGCCUUGAGGCUGUCCCAGUAGACACAGGGAGGUUGGGGCAGGGCUGGAGCCCUGCGGAUGCUCUGAUGAGUGAGAAUGAGUCACCCGCUCAGGCCUCUUUCUGCUUAAGCAGAGGUAAAGGUCCAGCUUUGUAAUAGCCGGAGUGUGAGGAUCCCUCGCACUGAUCUGCCCACAAUGGGCCGCCGGCAGGCCCAGAGACCCUCAAGUCUCAUCCUCAGUGGUCUACCGAGCUGUGCACGGCCAGCUUCCCUGAAUUCACUCCAAAGUCCCAGCCAAGCCCCCUCUAUGUAUUACAGGUAGUUAGGCAUGAAAGGGGCAGAAGAGAGGUCUCUCCAUCACCCACUAGAAAUCUCGGGUGAUGAUUCGGCAAUGAUCGCAUCGCUUCUCUAAAAAUGACAAUUCCACCGCACCAGAAGAGACCAUUUCCUGAUGGUCCGCACCUGUUAACAUCAAACUGUUAAUCGAAUGCAGGCUCCAGGGAGAAGCAACUUCCUGGGCAUGCGUGUUAAGAGACAAAAAAUGAUGACGUUUGAUGACCACUCCACCAGAAAAGGGAAGAAAGCCUGAGGGGCCUGCGUGGACCUCCCUAAACACACUGCGCAUGCUCCAUUCCAAACGGUAUGGCGAGCACUGCGCAUGCGGGAAACCCACCCUGUAAGGGAAGAAUCCUGGGAAAGAGGCAAGCCUAUGAAGUCCCAGGAUCAAGGUUAAAGACCCUCUUUUUUACUGUCUUCUUGUGCUCUCUUUUCUCUCUUGGACCUUCAGGCGCCUGCUUGGGUCUCUUUCAAGCGAAUUUUGCUUUCUUUCCUGUUCUAAAGCCUUUUAACUAAACUUCCACUCCUGCUCUGAAACUUGCUCUCUUUUUCUGCCUUAACGCCCCUCAGUCGAAUUCUUUCUUCUGAGGAGGCAAGGACUGAAGUUGCUGUGGACCCAUAGGGAUUCGCCAUUGGUAACUCGGGGUAACUCGGCUCUCUUCCACUGCUGACGUAUGUAGCAAGUCCUGUCUUCGGGUUGGCAGGCACCACGGCUGACACCACAUGCGCAGAGAGAGGGGAAAGACCAAGAAGUGACUCAUGACAUCACCCUCGUCUCUGAAAGACAAGAUGUUGGUCUCCUCAGGUGCCGUGCAGUCUUCAGUGUUGGCUGCAGCCACAGCCCCUGCAAUGCAGACCAGGAUGAGGGAAAGCCGCUGGAAGAGGCCUACAGCAUUUUUUAUUAGUAAAUCCAGAGGACGUGUUAUAUAAAGUGUAAGACAACCACCAUUGCAUGCAUUUAUUCAUUCACUCAUUCAGUAAGGAAUUUUCCAUUUCUUUAUAAAUGAGUAAAAGGUACAGGCUGGGUGGCCUUGGCCAGUAUCCCAUUAAUGAAAGACAGAUUUGAAUAAAAAUGUGUAAGGUCUCAAAUACCAGGUUACUUACUGCUUUAGAUGGUAUUCAGAGGGGAGCCAUUGAAAGUUUAUAAUGAGAAGGAAAACAAACAUGAUUUUCUGGUUCCUAAUACUUUCCCAUGGACAGUAACUAUUUGCCUACAGAUUGAGCAAACCAUGGUGUUCUGUAAGAUGCCUGGAUUGUUCUGAGCACCAGGACGCUGGCUGCAAGGUGCGGGGCCCUUCGUCCACCGGGGUCUGUCCUGGUUCCUGGGCGAGCUGUGGCAGGGUCUUUCUGGCAGUCCACCCAGUGCCCUGUGGCAGGCGAUCAGGAAGCAGAGGCAGAGCAGCUGGGGGAGGACUGGGAUGACUGAACCUCUCCUGCUUAGGUUCAGGGGCCCUCCCUUCAAGGUGCGGCCUGUGUGAGACACGCAUCCACAGCCCGGUAACCAAAACUGGCACACCCAGCACAGUCACCUCCACGGCAGCACAUGACCUACAUCAGCCAGUCAGCAGCUCUUACUGGGGAGCUCCUAGGUCCAAGUGCAUGUGCAGCAGGACAGGGAGGGGGGCUUACCUACAUUGAAUUAGCAAAGUGAGAUAUACACACAUGAGAAGUUCCAGAAGUAGCAAAGGAUCACGGAUGGUUGCAGAAGCUGAUUGGGGUGGAAGGAAGGACUUCGAGAGGAGAUGGCACUGGAGCUGGGAGUUGAGGGAGAACUAGAGUGAAAUUAGGAAACACGAAGAUGAGAGGGUGUUUUGGCCAUGGUGAUAAAAAAGGAGUGGGAGGACACGCGUGAGGUGUGCUCCAGAGAGGUGAACACUCACUAUGGCAGAGCCCAUUUUGGGGGCGGGUGCCAUUCAUUGGCCAUUAAGGUGGCAAAGCUAGGUUUAAACCAGCCUUUCUAUGUUUCUGAAAGUCAGGCUGAAGGUUUGGACGGUCUUCAGAGAAGAACCAUGGAAAGUUUUUGGCAAAGAAACCAGAUUCAGUGAGACGGUGUUGAUGGAGAAUUCAGUCUGUGCCAGGGAUUGUGUUAGGGACUGGGGGUUCGACCGUGUUAAGACACGGUCUCUGUCUUUAGAGAGUAUCUAACUGGGGGAAUAUGACACAUAAGAAACAGAUAUUUUUGGUUUAACGUGAUAAGGGCUGUGGUAAAAAUAUUCAGAGCAAGUUGUUGCAGCUUAGGAGAAGGGCAGGACACCUGGUUUUGUGGA
Molecule: long non-coding RNA, 6199 nt
Filed under: Homo sapiens (human)
Lineage: Eukaryota; Metazoa; Chordata; Mammalia; Primates; Hominidae
Description: HSALNT0024209
Source: RNAcentral